AGUGAAUAACUAAAAAUUCACACACAUUUCGACACUAUGUCCGGGGUGUCGCUUUAAACAGCGAUCGGGGAUAGGGGAAUGUGGAGGCAUAAC
RNAcentral lists this small RNA (93 nucleotides) under Glaciecola punicea ACAM 611. RNAcentral describes it as "t44 RNA". It matches the Rfam family "t44 RNA". Rfam says of the family: This family consists of a number of bacterial RNA genes of between 135 and 170 bases in length. The t44 gene is found between the map and rpsB genes in all species in the full alignment apart from Shigella flexneri. The function of this RNA is unknown. The record is from Rfam by way of RNAcentral. Lineage: Bacteria; Pseudomonadati; Pseudomonadota; Gammaproteobacteria; Alteromonadales; Alteromonadaceae.